AACUCAAAGGAAUUGACGGGGGCCCGCACAAGCGGCGGGGCAUGCGGAUUAAUUCGAUGCAACGCGAAGAACCUUACCAAGGCUUGACAUGAACCGGAAAGGCGUAGAAAUACGUCCCCCACUUGUGGUCGGUUUACAGGUGGUGCAUGGUUGUCGUCAGCUCGUGUCGUGAGAUGUUGGGUUAAGUCCCGCAACGAGCGCAACCCUCGUUCUAUGUUGCCAGCACGUGAUGGUGGGGACUCAUAGGAGACUGCCGGGGUCAACUCGGAGGAAGGUGGGGAUGACGUCAAAUCGUCAUGCCCCUUAUGUCUUGGGCUUCACGCAUGCUACAAUGGCCGGUACAAAGGGUUGCGAUACUGUGAGGUGGAGCUAAUCCCAAAAAGCCGGUCUCAGUUCGGAUUGGGGUCUGCAACUCGACCCCAUGAAGUCGGAGUCGCUAGUAAU
Molecule: ribosomal RNA, 444 nt
Filed under: uncultured Arthrobacter sp.
Lineage: Bacteria; Bacillati; Actinomycetota; Actinomycetes; Micrococcales; Micrococcaceae
Description: bacterial SSU rRNA
Rfam family: Bacterial small subunit ribosomal RNA
Source: RNAcentral